Molecule: ribosomal RNA, 465 nt
Filed under: uncultured bacterium
Lineage: Bacteria
Description: partial 16S ribosomal RNA
Rfam family: Bacterial small subunit ribosomal RNA
Source: RNAcentral
GAUGAACGCUGGCGGCGUGCUUAACACAUGCAAGUCGAACGGAAAGGCUCCUGCUUGCAGGGGUACUCGAGUGGCGAACGGGUGAGUAACACGUGGGUGAUCUGCCCUGCACUUCGGGAUAAGCCUGGGAAACUGGGUCUAAUACCGGAUAGGACCACAUUUUGGAUGGUGUGGUGGAAAGUUUUUCGGUGUGGGAUGAGCUCGCGGCCUAUCAGCUUGUUGGUGGGGUAAUGGCCUACCAAGGCGUCGACGGGUAGCCGGCCUGAGAGGGUGUACGGCCACAUUGGGACUGAGAUACGGCCCAGACUCCUACGGGAGGCAGCAGUGGGGAAUAUUGCACAAUGGGCGCAAGCCUGAUGCAGCGACGCCGCGUGGGGGAUGACGGCCUUCGGGUUGUAAACUCCUUUCGCUAGGGACGAAGCGCAAGUGACGGUACCUGGAGAGGAAGCACCGGCUAACUACGUG